Long non-coding RNA from Cyprinus carpio (common carp), 187 nucleotides. RefSeq lists it as uncharacterized. The record is from RefSeq and is a predicted model, not a curated record. NCBI's taxonomy places the organism in Eukaryota, Metazoa, Chordata, Actinopteri, Cypriniformes, Cyprinidae. The transcript has 3 exons.
ACUCAGAGACUGAGGAAACUGGGACGCUAUACUGCCAGAUCCAGCUCUGUGACGGAGGAACCCGCGAGUGCUUUCCAAGAAUACAUCAAAGGCAUGACACGAUCACACAGGGAGAGUGAUAUCUGUCCUCGUCCAAAGUCAUUUAUACGGCCAGUUUUUGAUCAUCCUCACACGAGGAACUUGAAGA